This 253-nucleotide ribosomal RNA is filed under the name uncultured bacterium. RNAcentral's name for it is "partial 16S ribosomal RNA". It matches the Rfam family "Bacterial small subunit ribosomal RNA", at positions 524 to 776 of the family's 1533-position model. The record is from RNAcentral.
UACGGAGGGUGCAAGCGUUAUCCGGAUUUACUGGGUUUAAAGGGUGUGUAGGCGGACUUUUAAGUCAGCGGUGAAAUCUCCGGGCUCAACCCGGAAACUGCCAUUGAUACUAUUGGUCUUGAAUGUUGUUGAGGUGGGCGGAACGGGUCAUGUAGCGGUGAAAUGCAUGGAUAUGACCCGGAACACCGAUUGCGUAGGCAGCCCACUAAGCAACGAUUGACGCUGAGGCACGAAAGCGUGGGGAUCAAACAGG